This 19-nucleotide unclassified non-coding RNA is filed under the name Saccharomyces. RNAcentral's name for it is "RNA (5'-R(P*CP*CP*UP*GP*AP*GP*UP*UP*CP*AP*AP*UP*UP*CP*UP*AP*GP*CP*G)-3') from Saccharomyces (PDB 5C5W, chain A)". Lineage: Eukaryota; Fungi; Ascomycota; Saccharomycetes; Saccharomycetales; Saccharomycetaceae. The record is from RNAcentral.
CCUGAGUUCAAUUCUAGCG